GCGGGUAUAGUUUAGUGGUAAAACCUUA
RNAcentral lists this transfer RNA (28 nucleotides) under Ptisana attenuata. RNAcentral's name for it is "partial tRNA-Gly". The record is from RNAcentral. Lineage: Eukaryota; Viridiplantae; Streptophyta; Polypodiopsida; Marattiales; Marattiaceae.